Molecule: ribosomal RNA, 529 nt
Filed under: fungal clone UUF-12
Lineage: Eukaryota; Fungi
Description: SSU rRNA
Rfam family: Eukaryotic small subunit ribosomal RNA
Source: RNAcentral
GAUACAAAACCAAUGCCCUUCGGGGSUCUCUUUGGUGAUUCAUGAUAACUUCUUCGAAUCGMACGGCCCCGCGCCGGCGAUGGUUCAUUCAAAUUUCUUUCCCUAUCAACUUUCGAUGCUACGGUAUUGUCCUAGCAUGGUUGCAACGGGUGACGGAGGGUUAGGGCUCGACCCCGGAGAAGGAGCCUGAGAAACGGCUACUACAUCCAAGGAAGGCAGCAGGCGCGCAAAUUACCCAAUCCCGAUACGGGGAGGUAGUGACGAUAAAUACCGAUACAGGGCUCUUUUGGGUCCUGUAAUUGGAAUGAGUACAAUUCAAAUCCCUUAACGAGGAACAAUUGGAGGGCAAGUCUGGUGCCAGCAGCCGCGGUAAUUCCAGCUCCAAUAGCGUAUAUUAAAGUUGUUGUGGUUAAAAAGCUCGUAGUAGAAGCUCCGGGCUCCGGCCGACCGGUCCGCCUCACCGCGUGCACUGGGUUCGGCCGGGCCUUCACCUUCUGCGGAACCGCAUCUCCYUCAACUGGGGGUGUUC